CCUUUAAGUUACAAAUGACCAAAUACAUAUUGUUUUAUGUUACAUUGUAUUCAUUUAGACUGCAAGACUUUAAAGAAAUUUCUGAUUUGGUAAGGUUCUGUAUAAAUUUUCCAGCAAACACUGCCCACUUUUUCUCAGCAGCAUAAUUAACAACAGACACAAUAUGUGCAGAACGUUGAGGAAUCUCAAAAGUUGGUCCGUGUAACUUUAAUUUCCUUUACAAGUGAGCUCAGAUGUAUUAUGUCACAAAUAAUGCUGAGAAUGACUUGGAAUAAGCAAAGUUCCCAAAAAGUAUUCUAUAUUUUAGAUCUAGAGCACCUUUCGCUCUCAGGAAAUAACAUCAGUGUCGUCCCCAAUGAGAUUUGAAACCUUAAAAAGAAAAUAGAGCACCUUUCGCUCUCAGGAAAUAACAUCAGUGUCGUCCCCAAUGAGAUUUGAAACCUUAAAAAGGUGUGGUUGUGGAUGGGAUUUAGUUGAUGGAAGCUUCUUUUGGAGGAAGGAAGUUAGCUGGAGCCACUCUAUCAAUCCCAGGAAGUUAAAGUGGGAACAUACCACCUCUACCUUUUGUUUGUUACUCUUUACAGUCUCUUCAGAAAAUGAACCAUCCUAAUAUAGUAAAGCUGAAGGAGGUUAUUAGAGAAAAUGACAUUCUAUAUUUUGUUUUUGAGUACAUGGAAUGUAAUUUGUACCACCUAAUGAAAGAUAAGGUCAAGCUUUUUCCAGAGUCAAAGGUAUUGAUCUCCUAAACUCUUGCUACAAUCCUCUUCCUAUGGUUCUAUUGUAGGCAUAUGGGCUAUGGGAGCUAUCACAGUUGAGCUAUUUACUCUUCGCCCUCUUUUUCCUGGGUCCAGUGAAACAGAUGAGAUAUACAAAAUCUGUAGUGUAAUUAGCAGUCUUGGUUUGAAGGCUUAAGACUUGUUGAUUAUAUGAAGUAUCAAUUCCUGCAGGUUGGGCUUAAGGACCUGUCCGUCAGGCUUAAGACUUGCUGAUUCUAUCAAGUAUCAAUUCCCGUGGGUUGGGCCUGAGAAGGACUUGUCCGUCUGAAAGAGAAAGAGGGAACCUUCACACGAUGGCCACUAAAAUAUCUACAAAAAAUGACAUAGUUGAUUAUGUUUAUCAUGUACUAGUUGUUAGACAUCUUGGCUCACUGCUUUAUGCAGUAUUUUGAAUGUGUUGUUCAGGAGCCUUAAUUAUUAUGGUGUAUUUGAAAGAGUUGGAAACUCUUAGGUAGCUUUGACAUUAUUUUAUUAUAUUUGCAUAUAUACUCUUUAGACAACUUUGACAUUUUAUAACAUAUAUAUUUGCAUUA
This is an RNA transcript of Cryptomeria japonica (Japanese cedar), 1309 nucleotides long. It is a transcript of the gene named cyclin-dependent kinase F-4, with no coding region annotated. Lineage: Eukaryota; Viridiplantae; Streptophyta; Pinopsida; Cupressales; Cupressaceae. The transcript has 11 exons. The record is from RefSeq and is a predicted model, not a curated record.